This 253-nucleotide ribosomal RNA is filed under the name uncultured bacterium. RNAcentral's name for it is "partial 16S ribosomal RNA". It matches the Rfam family "Bacterial small subunit ribosomal RNA", at positions 524 to 776 of the family's 1533-position model. The record is from RNAcentral.
UACAGAGGGGGCGAGCGUUGUUCGGAAUUACUGGGCGUAAAGGGCGCGUAGGCGGCCCGCUAAGUCGAACGUGAAAUCCCCAGGCUUAACCUGGGAACUGCGUCCGAUACUGGCAGGCUUGAAUCCGGGAGAGGGAUGUGGAAUUCCAGGUGUAGCGGUGAAAUGCGUAGAUAUCUGGAGGAACACCGGUGGCGAAGGCGGCAUCCUGGACCAACACUGACGCUGAGGAGCGAAAGCCAGGGGAGCAAACGGG